CCGCGGCACGGCCCCGCCCCGCAGGCCCGGUAACGGCGGCUUCCUGCCGGGGGGCCGGGCGUUGGGUGCGGAGGGUGCGGGGCUGGGGCCGGGCCCGUCGGUCCUGAGCCCGCUGUGGGGCUGGGGUCCCUGCUGUGGGGCUGGGGUCCCCCCUGUGGGGCUGGGUCCCCCUGUGGGGCUGGGUCCUGUCAGUCCCGAGCCCGCUGGGGGGCUGGGAUCCCGCUGUGGGGCUGGGGUCCACUGUGGGGCUGGGGUCCCGUCAGUCCUGAGCCCCCUGUGGGGCUGGGGUCCCACUGUGGGGCUGGGUCCUGUCAGUCCUGAGCCCCCUGUAGGGCUGGGGGCCUGCUGUGGGGUUGGGGUCCUGUCAGUCCUGGUCCCCCUGUGGGGCUGAGUCCCUGCUGUGGGGCUGGGUCCUGUCAGUCCCAAGCCCCCUGUGGGGCUGGGGCCCUGUGGGGUUGGGGUCCAUCAGUCCUGGUCCCGCUGUAGGGCUGGGUCCCAUCAGUCCUGGUCCUGCUGUGGGGUUGGGGGCCCGUCAGUCCUGCUGUGGGGCUGGGUCCCCCCUGUCCUGGUCCCGCUGCAGCCCUGCCGUUGCUGGGGUCCUGCCCUGGGGCUGUCCCGUCCCCACCAUGCUCCUGAAUAAAGUCCCGCACCCGCCUGGGGUCCCGUCCCUUCCCUGCUCACCGAGCUGCCCCCAACUCCUCCCUGCUCCCCCUCAUCAAGGCUGAAGGGGACUCAGCCUUAAUAAGGGGAGGCCCUGGGAAGGGACUGGGCACUAAACCGAGCUCUCCUCCCGCUCCCAGGGCUCCUCCUAAAAAUGCCGCUGUGUGAAGGCCGAGGAGGCGGUGAGCAGGUGCUGAUGAAAAAUGAAAGCUAUUUGCCGAUCGUGAAAAAUAAAGAUCAGAGGAAGAGGCUUGUCCAUGAAAUCUGCUCCUUUUUAGACAGCAGUCAGUCCCUGCAGGAAAUCGAUGCUUUGAGGACAGAAAAUAGGAAGCUUAAAAAUGCGAACUCAAGGCUGCGAUAUAAAACAAAAGAUUGGGCGAUAAGGAGAGAAGAAUAUAAAAAUGAGAUCGAGAGACUUUCUGGCGAGAUCUCCAACUACUUAAAUGUCACCAACUUCUGGGAUGAAGAGUCCGAGCAUCUUAACGGCCCAGCACUCAGACAGAGGGCGCCUGCGGAGCGGAGGAAAGGUAAGGGCUGCGAAAGAGGUGCUGGUGCGGGGCUGCCGUGGCGUUGUCCUGGCCCUACAAAACUCAGAAUCUUCUUGGUCGUAACCCCUACAUCUCUUGGGACGUUGCUGAGGUGCAGCAACGGGGAAAGCGGAGGAUGUAACGUCUCACCUGCCCUUAAAACCGCUAGGUCCUGUAGUGAAAUCUCUGUCUUGCCAAAGGGAGAGGUCUGGAAAAAAGGAACCUGCUCCUGA
This is a long non-coding RNA of Anser brachyrhynchus (Pink-footed goose), 1420 nucleotides long. Lineage: Eukaryota; Metazoa; Chordata; Aves; Anseriformes; Anatidae. The record is from Ensembl.